UACGGGGGAUGCAAGCGUUAUCCGGAUUUACUGGGUGUAAAGGGGGCGCAGACGGCGAUGCAAGCCAGGAGUGAAAGCCCGGGGCCCAACCCCGGGACUGCUCUUGGAACUGCGUGGCUGGAGUGCAGGAGGGGCAGGCGGAAUUCCUGGUGUAGCGGUGAAAUGCGUAGAUAUCAGGAGGAACACCGGUGGCGAAGGCGGCCUGCUGGACUGCAACUGACGUUGAGGCCCGAAAGCGUGGGGAGCAAACAGG
This 253-nucleotide ribosomal RNA is filed under the name uncultured bacterium. RNAcentral's name for it is "partial 16S ribosomal RNA". It matches the Rfam family "Bacterial small subunit ribosomal RNA", at positions 524 to 776 of the family's 1533-position model. The record is from RNAcentral.